RNAcentral lists this ribosomal RNA (497 nucleotides) under uncultured bacterium. RNAcentral's name for it is "partial 16S ribosomal RNA". It matches the Rfam family "Bacterial small subunit ribosomal RNA", at positions 36 to 507 of the family's 1533-position model. The record is from RNAcentral.
UCUUCCCUCUGGCGGCGUGCCUAAUACAUGCAAGUCGAGCGAACAGGCGAGGAGCUUGCUCCUCUGACGUUAGCGGCGGACGGGUGAGUAACACGUGGAUAACCUACCUAUAAGACUGGGAUAACUUCGGGAAACCGGAGCUAAUACCGGAUAAUAUAUUGAACCGCAUGGUUCAAUAGUGAAAGACGGUUUUGCUGUCACUUAUAGAUGGAUCCGCGCCGCAUUAGCUAGUUGGUAAGGUAACGGCUUACCAAGGCAACGAUGCGUAGCCGACCUGAGAGGGUGAUCGGCCACACUGGAACUGAGACACGGUCCAGACUCCUACGGGAGGCAGCAGUAGGGAAUCUUCCGCAAAGGGCGAAAGCCUGACGGAGCAACGCCGCGUGAGUGAUGAAGGUCUUCGGAUCGUAAAACUCUGUUAUUAGGGAAGAACAAAUGUGUAAGUAACUAUGCACGUCUUGACGGUACCUAAUCAGAAAGCCACGGCUAACUACGUG